ACGGGUGAGUAACGCGUGGGUAACCUGCCUCAUACUGGGGAAUAACAGCCGGAAACGGUUGCUAAAACCGCAUAAGAUGCUAACAUCGCAUGAUGACUGCAUUAAAUAUUUAUAGGUAUGAGAUGGGCCCGCGUCUGAUUAGCUAGUUGGUGAGAUAAAAGCUCACCAAGGCGACGAUCAGUAGCCGGCUUGAGAGAGUGACCGGCCACAUUGGGACUGAGACACGGCCUAAACUCCUACGGGAGGCAGCAGUGGGGAAUAUUGCACAAUGGGGGAAACCCUGAUGCAGCGACGCCGCGUGAGUGAAGAAGUAUUUCGGUAUGUAAAGCUCUAUCAGCAGGGAAGAAAUUGACGGUACCUGACUAAGAAGCCCCGGCUAACUACGUGCCAGCAGCCGCGGUAAUACGUAGGGGGCAAGCGUUAUCCGGAUUUACUGGGUGUAAAGGGAGCGUAGGUGGCAAAUCAAGUCAGAUGUGAAAGCCCGGGGCUCAACCCCGGGAUUGCAUCUGAAACUGGUAUGCUAGAGUGCAGGAGAGGUAAGUGGAAUUCCUAGUGUAGCGGUGAA
Molecule: ribosomal RNA, 565 nt
Filed under: uncultured Lachnospiraceae bacterium
Lineage: Bacteria; Bacillati; Bacillota; Clostridia; Lachnospirales; Lachnospiraceae
Description: bacterial SSU rRNA
Rfam family: Bacterial small subunit ribosomal RNA
Source: RNAcentral